GAUGAAGAACGUAGCGAAACGCGAUAAGUAAUGUGAAUUGCAGAAUCCAGUGAAUCAUCGAAUCUUUGAACGCACACUGCGCCCGCCAGCAUUCUGGCGGGCAUGCCUGUUCGAGCGUCAUUUCAACCCUCGACCUCCCCUUGGGGAGGUCGGCGUUGGGGACCGGCAGCACACCGCCGGCCCUGAAAUGGAGUGGCGGCCCGUCCGCGGCGACCUCUGCGCAGUAAUACAGCUCGCACCGGGACCCCGACGCGGCCACGCCGUAAAACACCCAACUUCUGAACGUUGACCUCGAAUCAGGUAGGACUACCCGCUGAACUUAAGCAUAUCAAUAAGCGGAGGA
RNAcentral lists this unclassified non-coding RNA (343 nucleotides) under soil metagenome. RNAcentral describes it as "partial contains 5.8S ribosomal RNA, internal transcribed spacer 2, and large subunit ribosomal RNA". The stretch from base 1 to 120 matches the Rfam family "5.8S ribosomal RNA", at positions 35 to 154 of the family's 154-position model. The record is from RNAcentral.